UUCGCGUGUAGCAGUGAAAUGCGUAGAGAUCGGGAGGAAUACCAGUGGCGAAGGCGGCCUUCUGGACUGACACUGACGUUGAGGUGCGAAAGCGUGGGUAGCAAACAGGAUUAGAUACCCUGGUAGUCCACGCUGUAAACGAUGUCGACUAGCCGUUGGGUCCCUCGAGGACUUUGUGGCGCAGUUAACGCGAUAAGUCGACCGCCUGGGGAGUACGGCCGCAAGGUUAAAACUCAAAAGAAUUGACGGGGGCCCGCACAAGCGGUGGAGCAUGUGGUUUAAUUCGAUGCAACGCGAAGAACCUUACCUACCCUUGACAUCCUCGGAAGCCUGCAGAGAUGCGGGCGUGCCUUCGGGAACCGAGAGACAGGUGCUGCAUGGCUGUCGUCAGCU
Molecule: ribosomal RNA, 393 nt
Filed under: uncultured Pseudomonadota bacterium
Lineage: Bacteria; Pseudomonadati; Pseudomonadota
Description: bacterial SSU rRNA
Rfam family: Bacterial small subunit ribosomal RNA
Source: RNAcentral